This 4347-nucleotide long non-coding RNA is filed under the name Canis lupus familiaris (dog). RNAcentral's name for it is "lncRNA (ENSCAFG00000050219.1)". The record is from RNAcentral. Lineage: Eukaryota; Metazoa; Chordata; Mammalia; Carnivora; Canidae.
AUCUUUGAGAGUUCAUGGUAACAAAAAUAAUUAUAGGAGUUAUAUACACAAACCAGGUUGUUCAAGUAUUUAAACAAAUAUUUGAUUAUCUCAUUAGCUCUAAAGCAAGUAUUUCCAACUAAUAACUGAAAAAAAAAUCUUAUUUGGAAAAGCACUUUUUUUUUGUAAGAAAGUGGGAUUUACGUUGGAAUAAAACACUGAGAAAAUGUCGAUUUUCUGAAACUAAAUACAAUUUGAAACCUGCUAUGUAAUGUUUUUAGAAUAUGACUUAUAAUUCAUUUAACCUCUACAUGGAUAUAAGGAAUUGGCUAGUCUCAAAGUUCUUCCACAGAAACACCUUUUUUUUCCUUCCUGUAGCCUCAUGAGGAUAUUCUCUAAUCUCUUGAAAUGAAAUAAUUUUGUGUUUUAAAGCUGUGAUCUCUGUUUUAAGAAAUGCAGUCACUUUUUAAGCUGAUAAUUUAUCUGCUUUUCCAAUGGAGCAUCUGGCCAAAGACUUCAGGAUAAUAAGCAAGACUUGCUCACAAAUAAACAACAAAAAUCAACGCCCUCUGUUACAGAAAGAAGAGCAAAAUAAUCUCAGUUAGAAAAUCAAGAGGUGGAAAACUGCCUGUGAUCAGAGGGAAUUGACUCACCACCUGAUUCACUUCUCCCUCAUGGAGACAGACUUUGGUUAGAAACAGCGAAGUGCAUCCGAAAUCUGGUUUGUGUGCAGUCAGGCUGAUGCCAACACAGAUUUAUAGAAUCACUUAUCCCUCAACCUUUGACCUGGGUGUGUGACCUCUGAGUCUCCUAAGGCCCCAGACUCAGAAGAAUCUUGUGCUUGUGCUUGUUUCAGAUAGUACUAUUGCUAUCUUGAAAUUCUUAACAAUUUUUGGACAAGGAACCUUGCUUUUCAUUUUGCACUGGGCCCUACCCUAUGUAGCCACGAUCCACAAGGCUGUUCCUGCCUCGGAUGCUGCUAAACAUGUCUAGCAAUCUCUAGGUGAAAACUGCAGAUUGCCAGCUCCCCAAACACUCUCGACUCUUCACAUUCAGGACUGGUUUUCUUCGUUUCAUCAGGUGGGAAUCCCCUAAUUUUCAAUAUGUUUCUAAAAAGUCACCUGCAUCCUUUCUUGUCUGUUCCUCUGAUAAAAGGUAUCCCUCUCAUCUAUGGAAGUCCCAUCCUGUGCUACCUUCUCCAGAACCUGUUCCAGCAAUUAUUCUCCCCUAGGUCUUCAGCCUUUCUCUCUUCAUUGGUUCCUUUUCCGAAAUCUGUGACCAAUGCUUUAUGAGCAGCCCUCUCUCUAGGCACUGAAAAUGGGUUUAACUCCCAGACAACUUCUAAAGUGUCCAUCUGUCCAGUGGAAACAAAUCCUUGUUGGGCCCAAAGAUGAGGGUAUAGCUACUCCUCAGCUCUGGCUGAAUGUUGACGCUGGAGGCCAAAUGUGUUUCUGUCUUCCAGCUCUGCUCUUUACCUGCUAUGUGGCCCGGAGAAAGUUACCUAACUUCUAUAUGCCACCUUUUUCUUAUGAAAAAUGAAGACAAUAAUAAUACUUACUUCAAAGGGCUGUUUGGAGAAUAAAAUUAAAUAUGCUUAGAAUCAUUUGUGGCCUACAGUAAGCACUAUCUAAAUGUUUCUAAUUAUUGCCCUUUCUUCCUUCAGCUCCACUCUCCUGCCUCUUCUUUCACAUAAGGGAAGUGCAGUGAUGUGCAGGGUAAACAGAAUACUAUUCUGCUUGUCAAAGAAAUUAUUAGAUAUUUGGGAAUCAGUGGAAAAGACAGGCAUGUGUCUUUUUGAUAUUGGGCCUGUCGUGUUCAGCUGUGGUCUUUAGUUGUCAAAUCUGGGAAACAGGAAAGAUAGCAUUUAGCAUCCUGCAUCCUCCUCUUAUAACUUAAUACUAAGUGAAAACUAAAACGUUUUGUUAAUAAAGCCUUAACAUGUCAGUCUGUAGCAUCUUCUUCAGAGAGGUGUUUGGGAAUUGCUUUAUUUGUGUAUCACCAAAAGGAUAGCUCUGUCCUCUCGCCCUACCAAAAAAGAGGCCUAUGAAGGUAAUGAAUUCUUAGCAUCAAAACUUGAAAAUGUCAGCAUCUUCCAAAUUCCUGUUCCACCAGCAAAAAAAGUUCAGAUUCAUUGGAUAUGUUGUUAAAGUAGUACUUAUUUAUUUUAUUUUUUGAGAAACAUCUUGUUCCCUGGGUGAAAUCUUCUGAAACAUUGUCUGGCACAGUGGUAAGGUGAUCAAAAUCGAUCCAGUAGCCGAAGCCAGAAAGCUAGAGCAUAUCUGAAUUCUACAUGCAUCCCUGAACAUCACCACUUUAUCAUCCAUUCUAUCACCACGUGGUUUUUACCCCUAAGCUGUAACAUCUAAACCUUCUCCUAAUUCUAGUUUAAAAACUUUCCUAUCUUAGUGGCUCUCAACUUUAGAAGUACUUUAGAAUCUUUCUGAACCUAAAAAUAUGUAUUUAAAGAUUUCCAGACUCACCCCAACAGAUGAGUUAAAUUCUGAAUCCUUAAGUUGGCAAACAAAAUCCUUCAUGAUGCAAUCAAAGCCUUCCUGUCCAUUUUCAGCCUCAUUAUAUCAUCAAUAACCCCGUAUACUCUUAACAUGAAAACAGUUUCCUUCAGCACCAAGGUUUCAAGUGUCUGGCCCUUUUUAUUUUGUUUCCUCUGCCUAGAAUGCCCAAAGCAUUGGUUCUUAUUUUAGGAGUUACACCUUCUAUAAAUGCAUCUCUUAUUCCCUCAGAUUUUCUCAGGCACGCCUCCCCACAUGCUAUCACUUCUUUGUAUACACAUUUCCAAACCUCUGCUUACGUUGCAUAGCAAGGUCAACACGGAUGAGAAUUGAUGGAUGCUCAGGUUCUGUCUUUCUAUAUGAUUUGCUGCUCCUUAAGAAUUCUUAUUCAUCUCUAAAUGUACCUAGCAUAUAAGGAUACUAAAGGUUUGUUGUUGUUGUUUUUUUAAAAAGAUUUUAUUUAUUUAUUUGACAGAGGGACAAAGAGAGCACAAGCAGGCAGAGUGACAGAGGGAGAGGGAAAGGCAGGCUCCCAAUUGAGCAGGGUGCCCGAUUUGGGGCUUGAUCCCGGACCCUGGGAUCCUGACCUGAGCCAAAGGCAGAUGCUUAACGAAAUGAGCCAUCCAGGCACCCUUGAUACUAAAGUUUUUUUGAAUAAUAAUGUGCAUGGAAUUACAUCAGAGAUAGAGCAUAAAAGAAGAUAAUUUUGGGAAUGCGAAGAAUGACGACGAGUAUCUAGAGCUUCUGGUUUCUUCUUUGGUUCACUGUUCUAGGUUAGCCUGAAACUCAGAGAGCCAAACAGCCCUGUAAGUGUGCACUGAAACUGCACUAGGCAACCGAUGUAAGCCUUCAGUGACUGUCUCAAGUGACCUCAAGGAGGAAUCCAAACCAGAUCAACAGAGGCAUGCAAGCGAUAUUUUUAAACAAUCAGAAAUGAUAGAAACAUAAUGCACUCAGAUGACCUAAGGGUCUCUCUUGUGUCUGUGUAGAAAUCAGUAAUCCUUAAUUUUUAUAACUGUAACAAAUUAUACCUUGUGACAUGCAAAAAUUUGGAGAAUUUCUUAGAAUCACUUACACUCCUUCCCCUUUUUGUAUACAUAAUCUCUUGUAGCUUAGAAGCUUUGGAGUUCUUCAGAGCAACUGAAAUACUGUUUUGUGGGCUAUAGUUUUCAGUAAGACAAUGAAUAAAGCAUUUACUAAUCUAUUUUGAGGUUGGUUUUCUUUCCAUUGACAUAAAGGAUACUUUAACACCAGCUAAGGGGAAUGGUAAACUUGCAGAUGGAGUAAGCUUUAAGAUGGUGUAGCCAGGGCAUGUGGGAUGGCUCAGUUGGUUAAGCUACCGACUUUUUUUUUUUUUUUAAGAUUUUAUUUAUUUGUUCAUGACUGAGAGAGAAAGGCAGGGACAUAGGCAGAGGAAGCAGGCUCCCCACAAGGAGCCCAAUGUGGGACCCGAUCCUGGACCCCAGGAUCAUGCCCUGAGCCAAAGGCAGAUGCUCAACCGCUGAGUCACCCAGAUGUCCUUAAGCUAACGACUCUUGAUUUUGGCUCAGGUUGCAGUCUUGGGGUUAUGGGAUCAAAACUCCUUGUGGGCUCUUUGCAAUGGGGAAUUUGCUGGAGAUUCUCUCUCUUCCUCUGCCCCGCAUCCUGCUUUGUGUCUCUCUCCUAAUGUAAAUAAUUAAAUCUAAAAAAAAAAUGAUGGGGGCACCUGGCUCAGUUGGUUAAGUGGCUGCCUUUGGCUCAGGUCAUGAUCCUGGAGGUCCUAAGAUCCAGCCCCGUUCCUCCCCCUGGUUGUGCUCUCUCUGACUCUCUCUCUGCCAAAUAAAUACAUAAAAAUCUUAAAAAAAAAAAAAAAAAAAAA